RNAcentral lists this ribosomal RNA (253 nucleotides) under uncultured bacterium. Its description in RNAcentral is "partial 16S ribosomal RNA". It matches the Rfam family "Bacterial small subunit ribosomal RNA", at positions 524 to 776 of the family's 1533-position model. The record is from RNAcentral.
UACAGAGGGUGCGAGCGUUAUUCGAAAUUAUUGGGCGUAAAGCGCGCGUAGGUGGCGAGGCAAGUCUCGUGUGAAAUCCUCGGGCUCAACCCGAGAACGUCAUGGGAUACUACCUUGCUAGAGUAUAAGAGGGGAGAGCGGAAUUCCCAGUGUAGAGGUGAAAUUCGUAGAUAUUGGGAGGAACACCGGUGGCGAAAGCGGCUCUCUGGCUUAUCACUGACACUCUGGCGCGAAAGCGUGGGGAUCAAACAGG